UCUUUUCUCUCUCUCUCUCUCUCUCUCUCUCUCUCUCUCUCUCUCUCUCUCUCUCUCUCUCUCUCUCAAGUGCUUUGUUUAAAUAUGAGUUGCUUUGAGCAAAACCAGUUUGAAGCAUGUCCUUUCAGCAGCUACGGCGAUACGACCAUACGCAGCAGCACCACCACUGAUUGUCAUUCCUAUGAAAGAUAUUCACGCUUAUCCUCAAAAUUCUCCUCUUCCUCCUCCUUCUCCUCCUCCUGUGGAGAUUAAGACUAGGGGUGAAGAGUUUUGGAAAGGAUGUUGGACUGACCUGUGCUGCUGCCACUGUUGCUUGGAUUUUUGGUUCUGAGCACUGGAAGAACCGUUGUGCUUAUGUUUUAUUCUGUUCUACUUUAUAAGUACUUUUGGUUUUGGAUUGUUAUUGGGAAAACAGAGGAUGCUGUAAUUGUAUACUCAUCGCAACAUUCUUAUUAUGAUAUGGUUACGUAGUACUUGUUCGUACUACAUACAAUUAAAUCCAUUUGAGAUAUUGCAGCGAUAUUAUGUUA
RNA transcript from Quercus robur (English oak), 530 nucleotides. It is a transcript of the gene named protein CYSTEINE-RICH TRANSMEMBRANE MODULE 4-like, with no coding region annotated. The transcript is spliced from 3 exons. Lineage: Eukaryota; Viridiplantae; Streptophyta; Magnoliopsida; Fagales; Fagaceae. The record is from RefSeq and is a predicted model, not a curated record.